AAAAACAUUUCUUAUAAAUCUUUAUAAGUAAAAUCUGCUCCAUGAUUAUAAAUAGCCGCAGAAUUUUAACUGUGCUAAGGUAGCAUAAUCAUUUACCUUUUAAUUAAAGGUUUGUAUGAAUGAUUUUACAAUUAAAUUACUUUUUUAUAAAUUUCCAUUAAACUUAAAUUAAAAAUAAAAAUGUUUUUAUAAAAUAAAAAGACGAUAAGACCCUAUUGAACUUUACUAACGUUUAGCUGGGGAAGCUAGCCAAAUAUAAUUUUGGCUUAAAAACAAUUUUACUAUCCUAAUAAAAUUAUUAUAACAAGUUACCAUAGGGAUAACAGCGUAAUACAAUUUUAAAGCUCAUAUUAAAAAUUAAGCUUACGACCUCGAUGUUGAAUU
This 384-nucleotide ribosomal RNA is filed under the name Paikiniana keikoae. Its description in RNAcentral is "partial 16S ribosomal RNA". It matches the Rfam family "Bacterial large subunit ribosomal RNA", at positions 1809 to 2538 of the family's 2925-position model. Lineage: Eukaryota; Metazoa; Arthropoda; Arachnida; Araneae; Linyphiidae. The record is from RNAcentral.